Molecule: ribosomal RNA, 251 nt
Filed under: Staphylococcus aureus
Lineage: Bacteria; Bacillati; Bacillota; Bacilli; Caryophanales; Staphylococcaceae
Description: partial 23S ribosomal RNA
Rfam family: Bacterial large subunit ribosomal RNA
Source: RNAcentral
GUCCUUAGUACGAGAGGACCGGGAUGGACAUACCCCUGGUGUACCAGUUGUCGUGCCAACGGCAUAGCUGGGUAGCUAUGCGUGGACGGGAUAACUGCUGAAAGCAUCUACGCAUGAAGCCCCCCUCAAGAUGUGAUUUCCCAACUUCGGUUAUCUGAUUCUUCUACGAUGAUGACGUUAAUAGGUCCGAGGCGGAAGCAUGGUGACAUGUGGAGCUGACGAAUACUAAUCGAUCGAAGACUUAAUCAAAA